This 460-nucleotide ribosomal RNA is filed under the name uncultured bacterium. Its description in RNAcentral is "partial 16S ribosomal RNA". It matches the Rfam family "Bacterial small subunit ribosomal RNA", at positions 338 to 795 of the family's 1533-position model. The record is from RNAcentral.
CCUACGGGUGGCUGCAGUGAGGAAUAUUGGUCAAUGGACGAGAGUCUGAACCAGCCAAGUAGCGUGAAGGAUGACUGCCCUAUGGGUUGUAAACUUCUUUUAUAUGGGAAUAAAACGUUCCACGUGUGGGAUUUUGUAUGUACCAUAUGAAUAAGGAUCGGCUAACUCCGUGCCAGCAGCCGCGGUAAUACGGAGGAGCCGAGCGUUAUCCGGAUUUAUUGGGUUUAAAGGGAGCGUAGGUGGAUUGUUAAGUCAGUUGUGAAAGUUUGCGGCUCAACCGUAAAAUUGCAGUUGAAACUGGCAGUCUUGAGUACAGUAGAGGUGUGCGGAAUUCGUGGUGUAGCGGUGAAAUGCUUAGAUAUCACGAAGAACUCCGAUUGCGAAGGCAGUUCACUGGACUGCAACUGACACUGAGGCUCGAAAGUGUGGGUAUCAAACAGGAUUAGAUACCCCAGUAGUC